GUAGGUGGCAAGCGUUGUCCGGAAUUAUUGGGCGUAAAGCGCGCGCAGGCGGUCCUUUAAGUCUGAUGUGAAAGCCCACGGCUCAACCGUGGAGGGUCAUUGGAAACUGGGGGACUUGAGUACAGAAGAGGAAAGCGGAAUUCCAAGUGUAGCGGUGAAAUGCGUAGAGAUUCGGAGGAACACCAGUGGCGAAGGCGGCUUUCUGGUCUGUAACUGACGCUGAGGCGCGAAAGCGUGGGGAGCAAACAGGGAUUAGAUACCCUGGUAGUCCACGCCGUAAACGAUGAGUGCUAAGUGUUAGGGGGUUUCCCGCCCCCUUAGUGCUGCAGCUAACGCAUUAAGCACUCCGCCUGGGGAGUACGGCCGCAAGGCUG
RNAcentral lists this ribosomal RNA (374 nucleotides) under uncultured organism. Its description in RNAcentral is "partial 16S ribosomal RNA". It matches the Rfam family "Bacterial small subunit ribosomal RNA", at positions 527 to 896 of the family's 1533-position model. The record is from RNAcentral.